Molecule: RNA transcript, 1144 nt
Organism: Mustela lutreola (European mink)
Lineage: Eukaryota; Metazoa; Chordata; Mammalia; Carnivora; Mustelidae
Gene name: intraflagellar transport protein 172 homolog
Exons: 9
Source: RefSeq, a predicted model, not a curated record
CGCGUCAGCGGCAGUCGCUGCGGCAGCGUUACGGGUUGUCUAGGUAACCACGGGAGUUGUCGCUGAUUGGUGGCAUCCGAGAGACAGGUGUUCGUCUGGCAGUUGAAGCACCUGAGGACGCUGCUGAGCCCUCAGGUUCCCCAUCUGUAAAAUAUGCAUAAUCAUCUCUGUCUCAGCGUUAUGAAGUAAAAGGACAAUGCAUAUUGAGCAUCUAUCAAACUGCCUAGUCUAUGGAAAGAUCUUGUUAAAGGAGGGAAGUACCUAGUGAAGAACCGUUGAGGACCAGGUGGUGGACAGAGGUGGAAGAGAAUAGUCGACUGGGAGAUGAUCACUUCAAAAUUGGACAUCUGAGCAGAUGGAGCUGCAAAGGUGAUCUGCAUGGCUUGGUCCCAGAACAAUGCCAAGUUUGCGGUCUGCACAAUGGACCCAGUGGUGUUGCUAUAUGAUGACAUGGGGAGCGGAGAGACAAAUUCCCCACCAAACCAGCUACCUUGAAGAGUGCUGUCACCUGUCUGCAGUGGCCAGCAGAGCGGCACAUCAUUGUUUUUGGACUGGCUGAAGGGAAGGAUGGAGCUGCAAAGGUGACUUGCAUGGCUUGGUCCCAGAACAAUGCCAAGUUUGCGGUCUGCACAGUGUACCGAGUGGUGGUACUAUAUGAUGAACAUGGGGAGCGGAGAGAUAAAUUCUCCACCAAACCAGCUGACAUGAAGUUCCUCUGGGAAAGGAAUUCUCUCUGGUCAUGCAGAUGGCACCAUUGUUAGGUAUUUCCUCGAAGAUGAAGGCUCUGGAGAGUCACGGGGGAAGUCGGUUAUCCACCCAUGCCCGCCCUAUGCCUUGGCUUGGGCAACCAACAGCAUCGUGGCUGCAGGCUGUGAUCGCAGAAUUGUAGUCUAUGGAAAGGAAGGCCACGUGCUACAAACUUUUGAUUACAGCCGUGACCCUCAGGAGCGGGAGUUCACCACCGCUGCUGCAAGCCCUGGGGGCCAGUCUGUUGUGUUGGGAAGUUAUGACAGACUUCGGGUACUCAACUGGAGCCCUCGAAGAAGCAUCUGGGAAGAGGCAAAGCGCAAGGAGAUUGCCAACGUAUAUACCGUCACUGCCUUGGCCUGGAAACGGGAUGGCUCGACUCUGUGCGGUGCGUUUU